This 916-nucleotide ribosomal RNA is filed under the name Nitrosospira sp. RNAcentral describes it as "partial 23S ribosomal RNA". It matches the Rfam family "Bacterial large subunit ribosomal RNA", at positions 1908 to 2925 of the family's 2925-position model. The record is from RNAcentral. Lineage: Bacteria; Pseudomonadati; Pseudomonadota; Betaproteobacteria; Nitrosomonadales; Nitrosomonadaceae.
UUGAUCGAAGCCCCGGUAAACGGCGGCCGUAACUAUAACGGUCCUAAGGUAGCGAAAUUCCUUGUCGGGUAAGUUCCGACCUGCACGAAUGGCGUAACGAUGGCCACACUGUCUCCUCCUGAGACUCAGCGAAGUUGAAAUGUUUGUGAAGAUGCAAUCUCCCCGCGGCUAGACGGAAAGACCCCGUGCACCUUUACUGUAGCUUUACAUUGGACUUUGACAAUAUCUGUGUAGGAUAGGUGGGAGGCAUUGAAGUGGGCUCGCCAGAGCUCAUGGAGCCGACGUUGAAAUACCACCCUGAUGUUGUUGAGGUUCUAACCUGGGUCCAUUAUCUGGAUCGGGGACCGUGUAUGGUAGGCAGUUUGACUGGGGCGGUCUCCUCCCAAAGUGUAACGGAGGAGUACGAAGGUACGCUAGGUACGGUCGGAAAUCGUGCUGAUAGUGCAAUGGCAAAAGCGUGCUUGACUGCGAGACUGACAAGUCGAGCAGAUUCGACGGGGGAGUUUGGCACCUCGAUGUCGGCUCAUCACAUCCUGGGGCUGUAGCCGGUCCCAAGGGUAUGGCUGUUCGCCAUUUAAAGUGGUACGUGAGCUGGGUUUAAAACGUCGUGAGACAGUUUGGUCCCUAUCUGCCGUGGGCGUUGGAAGUUUGAGGGGACCUGCUCCUAGUACGAGAGGACCGGAGUGGACGCACCUCUGGUGUACCGGUUAUGACGCCAGUCGUAUCGCCGGGUAGCUAAGUGCGGAAGAGAUAACCGCUGAAAGCAUCUAAGCGGGAAACUCGCCUCAAGAUGAGACUUCCCGGGGGUUAAACCCCCCUAAAGGUUCGUCGAAGACCACGACGUUGAUAGGUCGGGUGUGGAAGCGCAGUAAUGCGUUAAGCUAACCGAUACUAAUUGACCGUGAGGCUUGAUCCU